UGUUUUGUGAGCCUUCUGAUUGUUUGUCAAUUACAAAUAGAUCAAUUUUAACUGAACUCUUUCACCUUGUCUAAGCGAAGGGUAUCUCUAAAAGUGAGCUGAGAUUCAUCUUAGGAGUGUGAAAUUAUGACUGCAAUUGGAGGUGGUGGGCCUGAGAUGCAUGGUUGAGAUUGUGUUGAAUGGCAGUAAAGCUUAUCUACUGGAUCAUACAGCCAGAAAUGGAUUGGCAAAUAAACACAGCAAUCAGAAAUAUAAUUGUGGUCCUGAAUUGGAUGCUUAUAUCACAGCAGAAGCUGCGCGUGUACUUGGCUUGAUCGGUG
RNAcentral lists this unclassified non-coding RNA (320 nucleotides) under Hevea brasiliensis (rubber tree). The record is from RNAcentral. Lineage: Eukaryota; Viridiplantae; Streptophyta; Magnoliopsida; Malpighiales; Euphorbiaceae.